RNAcentral lists this long non-coding RNA (1432 nucleotides) under Linum usitatissimum (flax). RNAcentral describes it as "long non-coding RNA (LUSI_LNC003474)". The record is from RNAcentral. Lineage: Eukaryota; Viridiplantae; Streptophyta; Magnoliopsida; Malpighiales; Linaceae.
UUUUCCAUCUUUGAAAUAAUACUCCCAACCUUUUUCCAUCUCUUCCUACCGUUGACGGUAACCACCUCAGUAAAAAUCCAAACUUUCUCUGUCCGUGCGGAACAACGCCGCCACAGUUCUGCUUCCUUCUCCUCCCCCAACAACGGCGGCAAACUCGAAUUCACCGAGAUAUCGGCAGCGCGAUCAAGGCAGCGGAAGAAGGAAUCUUCAAGCUGUUCCAUGUGGUAAGUUUCGUCUUAAAUUUGAGAUUCUGGUUAUUGGUUCGCACUUCCACAUCAUCCUACAGUGUACCUAUGUCAUCGGCGAAUUCUUGAUUUUGCUCCCUAGCUCAGUUAUUGCUGGGAAUGUCAAAUUUGGGAUGUUGAUAAGAUGUGCCUUGGAGUUGAAUUCCAGAGUUGUUUGUACAGUCCUAAUAGUACUAUAGUGGAUAGCUUUGAGAGGUUUCCAUACUGUUUGUUCUAUCAAAUUUUAGCAGUAGACAUGGGUUUGAUUUAAUUGAGUUGGUAUGAUCAUUCUCUACUACAACUAUGAUAUUUUAACUUCCAUUCCCUUCAACCCUAAAUUCUUGGUGAAGAUGAAUUAAUUUACUUUCCUUUUGGGUUAUAAUUUAUCGAUUAUUGGCUAUGGUUGGUAUUAACAUUAAGUGUUUGGAUUGUUGGUUGGUUAAAACAUUAACCAUAAACCUUCAUCUCCAAUUUCAUACUAAAAAAUCUAUAUAUAUAGUAAAGCAAUCCAUAUAAUUGAGUUUGUCACACAACUUUCUACUAUUCUCUCAAAUUUUCACAUCAUUAAUUAUUCUUAAAUCAAAAUUUAAAUAUCCUCUCUACUUUUAUUAUAUGUCACCAUAUUAAUUAUCUCCCCUUAAAUCAAUAUUUAACUUUAUUUGUAAAAUCAUAUAUAAAUAAGAUAUGACAUGAUAUCUAAUAUAAUUAUUUUAAAUAAUAAUAAUUUCAUGUGAAAAUAAAAAUCAAAUAGAAAUAUUUUAACUAGUUACCGGUUUGUCAGGUUACAGAUUAUGUGGGUCACAGGUUCAUUGGAUCACGAAGUCAUCGACCUUAGAGUUCUUCAUGUCCUGGUUUAUCAGGUUGCGAAACUAUCGAGUCUUGGGCUAAGCUUGACAUGAGUCACAAUUAGGGUUACGCAGGUUGAGGGUGUGUCGGGGUCAUGAGUUUGUCAUGUUAAAAACCAUCGGGUCACAUGUUCAUUAGGUCACAAAUUCAUCGAGCUCGUAUUAUAUUUUAUCAAAUCCAGGGUUUAUUAGGUUGUGGAUCCAACUAAUCCAGAACUAGGCCGGUUGCAUAUUGUCCACUAUGAAAAGUUUAUUGUCCAUAAAAAAAUAAAACAAAAAACAAAAACAAAAAUACAAUAUAGAUGAAUAUAAAUAACAAAAUAUUCUCCUGAAAUUGUAUACCCUAAAAUUUUUUAAUAAAAA